UGGGGAAUAUUGCACAAUGGGGGAAACCCUGAUGCAGCGACGCCGCGUGAGCGAUGAAGGCUUUCGAGUCGUAAAGCUCUGUCCUAUGGGAAGAUAAUGACGGUACCAUAGAAGAAAGCCCCGGCUAAUUACGUGCCAGCAGCCGCGGUAAUACGUAAGGGGCGAGCGUUGUCCGGAAUUAUUGGGCGUAAAGAGUGCGUAGGCGGCAAAUUAAGUCAGAUGUGAAAACUAAGGGCUCAACCCAUAGAUUGCAUCUGAAACUGAUAUGCUUGAGUCAAGGAGAGGAAAGUGGAAUUCCUAGUGUAGCGGUGAAAUGCGCAGAUAUUAGGAGGAAUACCGGUGGCGAAGGCGACUUUCUGGCCAUAUACUGACGCUGAGGUACGAAAGCGUGGGUAGCAAACAGG
Molecule: ribosomal RNA, 404 nt
Filed under: Verrucomicrobiota bacterium
Lineage: Bacteria; Pseudomonadati; Verrucomicrobiota
Description: Verrucomicrobia bacterium partial 16S ribosomal RNA
Rfam family: Bacterial small subunit ribosomal RNA
Source: RNAcentral